RNAcentral lists this ribosomal RNA (495 nucleotides) under uncultured bacterium. RNAcentral's name for it is "partial 16S ribosomal RNA". It matches the Rfam family "Bacterial small subunit ribosomal RNA", at positions 28 to 507 of the family's 1533-position model. The record is from RNAcentral.
GACGAACGCUGGCGGCGUGCCUAAUACAUGCAAGUAGAACGCUGAAGGAGGAGCUUGCUUCUCUGGAUGAGUUGCGAACGGGUGAGUAACGCGUAGGUAACCUGCCUGGUAGCGGGGGAUAACUAUUGGAAACGAUAGCUAAUACCGCAUAAGAGUAGAUGUUGUAUGACAUUUGCUUAAAAGGUGCAAUUGCAUCACUACCAGAUGGACCUGCGUUGUAUUAGCUAGUUGGUGGGGUAACGGCUCACCAAGGCGACGAUACAUAGCCGACCUGAGAGGGUGAUCGGCCACACUGGGACUGAGACACGGCCCAGACUCCUACGGGAGGCAGCAGUAGGGAAUCUUCGGCAAUGGACGGAAGUCUGACCGAGCAACGCCGCGUGAGUGAAGAAGGUUUUCGGAUCGUAAAGCUCUGUUGUAAGAGAAGAACGAGUGUGAGAGUGGAAAGUUCACACUGUGACGGUAGCUUACCAGAAAGGGACGGCUAACUACGUG